Molecule: ribosomal RNA, 497 nt
Filed under: Termitomyces sp. DKA-2007
Lineage: Eukaryota; Fungi; Basidiomycota; Agaricomycetes; Agaricales; Lyophyllaceae
Description: eukaryotic LSU rRNA
Rfam family: Eukaryotic large subunit ribosomal RNA
Source: RNAcentral
AUUCCCCUAGUAACUGCGAGUGAAGCGGGAAAAGCUCAAAUUUAAAAUCUGGUAGUCUUUGGCUGCCCGAGUUGUAAUCUAGAGAAGCAUUAUCUGCUCUGGACUGUGUAUAAGUAUCCUGGAAUGGAUCAUCAUAGAGGGUGAGAAUCCCGUCUUUGACACAGACUCCCAGUGCUUUGUGAUGUGCUCUCAAAGAGUCGAGUUGUUUGGGAAUGCAGCUCUAAAUGGGUGGUAAAUUCCAUCUAAAGCUAAAUAUUGGCGAGAGACCGAUAGCGAACAAGUACCGUGAGGGAAAGAUGAAAAGAACUUUGGAAAGAGAGUUAAACAGUACGUGAAAUUGCUGAAAGGGAAACGCUUGAAGUCAGUCGCGUUGGCUGGGGAUCAACCUUGCUUUUUGCUUGGCUUACUUCCCAGUUGACGGGUCAGCAUCAGUUUUGACCGGUGGAUAAAGGCUAGGGGAAUGUGGCACCUCCGGGUGUGUUAUAGCCCUUGGUCAU